Non-coding RNA from Lolium perenne, 2451 nucleotides. The record is from RefSeq and is a predicted model, not a curated record. Lineage: Eukaryota; Viridiplantae; Streptophyta; Magnoliopsida; Poales; Poaceae.
GGUAUAUAUGAUGCCCCCCAUAGGGGGCUUCACAGCGAUCCUCGCACGAGAGCCAUCGGAUCUUCCUUGCGACGAAUCUCGGCCGUCCGUUUUUCUUCACUGAGACAUAUAAAACGGACACAGCCACGGUGAGAAACCCUAGCCGCCGCCCGUCUCUCCCCAAUCCCGCGUCUCUCAUCCUUCCCCAAUCCCGUCGCUCUCCUCCUCCCCCAAUCCCAUCGUGGUUAACCCGCCGUCUCCCCAUCUUCCGGAUGAACUCGUCGCGUCGCCAUCGUCGGGAUGAAGGGCAGGCCGCCGCUCAUGCCCCCAGCCAUCUCGCCGGGAUGAAGGGCAGGCCACCGCUCAUGCCCCCAGCCAUCUCGCCGCUCGCAGUGCCGACGCGUCGUGCCGUCGCAGGGAGGAGCGUGGUUCGUGGCCGGCAGAUGCAGAGCAGUCCGCAGCUCGCACUGCCGCCGCGCCAUGCUUCGUCAUCGUCGGAAGGUCGCGAGGAGGCGAGGUCUGGAGGAAGCGCUCGAGCGGCGGCCGUCUGGGCUGUGCCCCUCCACCCUAUUUUUUGGGGCAGAAGGAGGGCUUCCAUGGUGCCGGUUUGAGAUCCCCCUUCUCUCUCUGCCUCUGGCUGAACAUUGACGUUUUCUUCCUUUUUCCCCCGGUUGCAUCCAGAUGUUGGCUGAUUCGUUGCUGCUAGUGAGAGAGAUGGGAAGUGGAAGAACAAAAGUUGAAGGAGAUGGAACAGGACACACCGAAUAACCACAUAUCUGCUCCAACAAAGGAGUGAACUACACUCACUCGGCAAUAAUCAGGAGUAGAUGAGGCGACAUGAAGAUUGCACGAGGAUGCGAGCUCGACAACAGGGCGAAAGGAUGAUGGCAUGAGGAUGCGGGUACAUUUUUAAAGUGCAUACUGCAGGUGUGCAAGAUGGUGGCUGACGAAUAUUCUUGAGUUCAACAAAAUGAAGUUUACUUAUCAGUUUGGUUUCAAUCUCAGUUCACCUUUGAUCAUUUUCUGAAGCAAAGUAAAACAGGGAAGUGCUCGAUGUUAUGUGCAUUCUCGCUGACUGUCUGUCGACGCAACGGGAGGGGUCGGUGUCAUGUACACUAAUUGAGUGGCGUGGAGGAGCUCCACCGUGAAGGAAACAGCUGGUUGGCAAUGGCUAAUUGUUGCAGCAGUGGUGUCAUUUAGAUUCGGGUUCAUGAAGAGCAUCUGAUGGACAUGCCAAUAGCUCUGGAAAUGGAUCAUUGAUCUCAUCUGUAAGAGGUAUCGCUGGUGGAGGAGCUGGAGAAGGCGCAGGGGCUCCGCGAGGCAGCUGACGGAUCGGGUCCUGGAUGAGCGUGAGGAGGCACUGCAAUGGGAAGUGAGGGAGUUGGAGCUGAGGGACGACAAGCAGAGGAGGCUGGUGGCAGAGCUCAUGCAUCUCAUUGGAUGCCCUAGUCUUGACCAUGUUUCGUCUGAGGAGACGAUUCUUUUCAGUCUAGGGUCGCUUCAUGCUUUUGCUUGCUGGUCACCUGGUUUGUCUGAUUGCAGUACAUGAAAACAACCAUUAAUUGGCGAAGCAGCGAGGUGAAGUUGCGCGCUGACCAACAUGUUAACCUCUUCGUGCCAGGGACAUGCACAAGUUUUGCAGGCUGAUGUAUUAUAUUUGCAGGAGGAAGAUGAAGAUAGUCAAGGACCUAUCUACUGUGAUAUUAAGGAAGUCAACAGUGAGCAAGUUCCCCAAAAAAAUACAUUGUCGUUGAGAAGGUCGAUGCAGAUCGGUAAUGAGAUCCAGGCUGCUCGAUUUCCUUCACGGACAUGGACGAGCUCCCCCUGGUAAUAUCAGUUGGAGAAGAAGAGAUAGGAGGCAUGUCUAUGGGUGAAUUCAGAAGUACAUGUAUCUGUUAAGAGUUGCAAGACUAUGGCCUGGGGUGUAGUUUCAUUUUCAUGUGAACAAUCUUCUCUAUCCCAUCGCCAUCUCCAGUAGGAGUGCCAGACAGGUUGUCCUCCUGUUCACAAGGCUGUGUGUGCGCUUGAUCCGAGUUCGCUGUCAUGAUUCAUCAUGUACACCUGUACUAAAAAGGCCUGUACUCAAAGCCUUGUGAAAAACAGUCAACAGAAGGUAUGCACUCUGCUCAAUCUUUCAUGUCGGAUCCUAUUUUACAUCCUACAAUUUUUAUUUUUUUCUUCCUAUCUAUAGAUGUUUGCUAUUGUGUUCUUUAAAUAUGCAAGAUUAACAUUCGUUUUCAUCAUCGACCGGAGGAAAAGAGCAGCUUAACGAUCGAGUACCUAGAAACAACAUCAGUGAAGCCACCCAUUUUAGGCGAUGACAUCUAACCCUUUAUGUAAUUAUGUUAGAUAAUUCCUCAAUUUACCUGACCAUGUAUAAAACCUUUGUUCUGAGCAAUGUUGGUUAAUUCUUGCAUGUGUGGUUACUCCACCUCUUCUUAUGAUUGUAAUUUUUCUUGCAUUUUGUUUCUA